GAACAUAAACUAGCAUGAAGUUUUGAUAGAAGGUUUUAAUUAAGAUUAUUUUAAAAUAAAAUUUUCCAUUAUAGAA
Molecule: long non-coding RNA, 76 nt
Organism: Octopus sinensis (East Asian common octopus)
Lineage: Eukaryota; Metazoa; Mollusca; Cephalopoda; Octopoda; Octopodidae
Exons: 3
Source: RefSeq, a predicted model, not a curated record